AUUGAACGCUGGCGGCAGGCCUAACACAUGCAAGUCGAGCGGAUGAACUUUGCUUUCUCCUGGAUUCAUCUUCCGACUUGUGUGUAAUUCCUAUUAAUCUGCCUUGUUUUUUUUUAUAACGUCCGUUAACGGGCUCUAUUACCGCAUACGUCCUUCUGUUGUAAUUUUUUUUUCUUCUGACCUCUCGCUUUCUUAUUUUCCUAGGUCGGAUUAGCUAGUUGGUGGGGUAAAGGCCUACCAAGGCGACGAUCCGUAACUGGUCUGAGAGGAUGAUCAGUCACACUGGAACUGAGACACGGUCCAGACUCCUACGGGAGGCAGCAGUGGGGAAUAUUGGACAAUGGGCGAAAGCCUGAUCCAGCAAUGCCGCGUGUGUGAAGAAGGUCUUCGGAUUGUAAAGCACUUUAAGUUGGGAGGAAGGGCAGUAAGUUAAUACCUUGCUGUUUUGACGUUAACAACAGAAUAAGCACCGGCUAACUUCGUG
This 484-nucleotide ribosomal RNA is filed under the name uncultured bacterium. RNAcentral's name for it is "partial 16S ribosomal RNA". It matches the Rfam family "Bacterial small subunit ribosomal RNA", at positions 30 to 507 of the family's 1533-position model. The record is from RNAcentral.